This 797-nucleotide ribosomal RNA is filed under the name uncultured bacterium. RNAcentral's name for it is "bacterial SSU rRNA". It matches the Rfam family "Bacterial small subunit ribosomal RNA", at positions 651 to 1449 of the family's 1533-position model. The record is from RNAcentral.
UCAGAGGGAGGUAGAAUUNCACGUGUAGCAGUGAAAUGCGUAGAGAUGUGGAGGAAUACCGAUGGCGAAGGCAGCCUCCUGGGAUAACACUGACGUUCAUGCCCGAAAGCGUGGGUAGCAAACAGGAUUAGAUACCCUGGUAGUCCACGCCCUAAACGAUGUCGAUUAGCUGUUGGGCAGCAUGACUGCUUAGUAGCGAAGCUAACGCGUGAAAUCGACCGCCUGGGGAGUACGGUCGCAAGAUUAAAACUCAAAGGAAUUGACGGGGACCCGCACAAGCGGUGGAUGAUGUGGAUUAAUUCGAUGCAACGCGAAGAACCUUACCUGGUCUUGACAUGUACGGAACCCUCCAGAGACGGAGGGGUGCCUUCGGGAGCCGUAACACAGGUGCUGCAUGGCUGUCGUCAGCUCGUGUCGUGAGAUGUUGGGUUAAGUCCCGCAACGAGCGCAACCCUUGUCAUUAGUUGCCAUCAUUAAGUUGGGCACUCUAAUGAGACUGCCGGUGACAAGCCGGAGGAAGGUGGGGAUGACGUCAAGUCCUCAUGGCCCUUAUGACCAGGGCUUCACACGUCAUACAAUGGUCGGUACAGAGGGUAGCCAAGCCGCGAGGUGGAGCCAAUCUCACAAAACCGAUCGUAGUCCGGAUUGCACUCUGCAACUCGAGUGCAUGAAGUCGGAAUCGCUAGUAAUCGCAGGUCAGCAUACUGCGGUGAAUACGUUCCCGGGUCUUGUACACACCGCCCGUCACACCAUGGGAGUGGGGGAUACCAGAAGUAGGUAGGGUAACCGCAAGGAGC